Molecule: ribosomal RNA, 253 nt
Filed under: uncultured bacterium
Lineage: Bacteria
Description: partial 16S ribosomal RNA
Rfam family: Bacterial small subunit ribosomal RNA
Source: RNAcentral
UACAGGGGGUGCAAACGUUGCUCGGAAUUAUUGGGCGUAAAGCGCGCGUAGGCGGCUACUUAAGUCGGAUGUGAAAGCCCUUGGCUCAACUGAGGAAGUGCACCCGAAACUGAGUGGCUUGAGUACUAAAGAGGGUCGCGGAAUUCCCGGUGUAGAGGUGAAAUUCGUAGAUAUCUGGAGGAACACCGGUGGCGAAGGCGGCAUCCUGGACCAACACUGACGCUGAGGAGCGAAAGCCAGGGGAGCAAACGGG